UACGUAGGGGGCAAGCGUUAUCCGGAUUUAUUGGGUUUAAAGGGUGCGUAGGCGGGCUUUUAAGUCAGCGGUAAAAAUUCGGGGCUCAACCCCGUCCGGCCGUUGAAACUGGGGGCCUUGAGUGGGCGAGAAGAAGGCGGAAUGCGUGGUGUAGCGGUGAAAUGCAUAGAUAUCACGCAGAACCCCGAUUGCGAAGGCAGCCUUCCGGCGCCCUACUGACGCUGAGGCACGAAAGUGCGGGGAUCGAACAGG
Molecule: ribosomal RNA, 252 nt
Filed under: uncultured bacterium
Lineage: Bacteria
Description: partial 16S ribosomal RNA
Rfam family: Bacterial small subunit ribosomal RNA
Source: RNAcentral